This is a long non-coding RNA of Phycodurus eques (leafy seadragon), 3440 nucleotides long. RefSeq lists it as uncharacterized. The record is from RefSeq and is a predicted model, not a curated record. Lineage: Eukaryota; Metazoa; Chordata; Actinopteri; Syngnathiformes; Syngnathidae. The transcript is spliced from 2 exons.
CGUUACGAAAUAUCGGCAACAUUUCAAUUUUACAAUGCGAAAGAAUGGACCUUGGUCUUUUUAAACUGAUCAUUUGUGAACUAUCGUGUGUUUUUUGUUUGUUUACUUAUACAAUUAUAAGGAGCGUCUCGUUAAUGUACAGUAGGUAACAGGGUAAAAGGUUUCAAUAUUGCGGAAGGAAAGGUGAAAGCUUUACCAGUGCCUGCUGUGGGAUAUCGUUUUCGUAGCUAGUAGUAUACUAUAUUUGUUCGACCUCCAAUUGGAAUUCUUGGCCAGAUUCAAGGUAAAACUCUGAAUUGGACCUCAGCUAUUCCAGGUGACUUGAGAAAAGGAGAAGAGCUGUACGUUUAGUUUUAAAUCUUGGUUUCAAAACAAAAACAUUUUUUGACCAAUUUUUAAUGUCUUUUUGGGGUUCUUUCAAUCCUGUUCAUAGUUUUUAAACUAUAAUUUACUAUGUGUCUAUAUAAGUAUAAAUCAUUACAAAAAAUAGGGGCGACACCGAUAUCACUUUUUUUUCAGAUUGAGUAUGAGUACGAGCAUAAGUGGUUACAUUUGAGUACCUGCCGAUAACGAGUAUUAAUACUUCAUCAUGGCAUUAUGUCUUGCAAUUGUGAUGAAAAUGUUUUUUUAAUCAAAUAUUGUUCCAAAACACAACCUUUUUUUAAAAUAGCACAGGUUUGACACAAAUAUAACACUUUUUAGAGUGAUAGCUUAUUUCUGACAUUUUAACACCCAGCUGCAUGUAUUCCCCCAUAUACAUAGUCUUGCCACACAUUCAGUAAAAUGUAGCCUGUAACACAAGGUAUUUCAGUUAUGUCAUGUCUCAGUCUGAACACUAGUGGGUGCCAUGUAAAAGCAGUAUAUAGUUCCGAGACAAAGAAGAACAGAGAGCCUGGUGGAUAUACAAGUAGGAAUACUGAUGCCCUGUUAGCUCUACAGUAUGUGCCAACUCCAAAAUGAAGUGUGUAAAAAGAAAUGUAAGACUGCAUCUUGAGAAUACCACAAGUUACGAAAGAAAACUGUGGCAGGACAACUAAAGUACAACUUUAUCACAUCAUCAGUUACUUCUCCUUACUCGCCGCGGUUAGGAUAACAGGGCGGGAAAUCAGGCGGCUUGCUCUGCCUCAGUCGCCGUGAAGAGCAUAAUUUGCUGUCGGCUAAAUGUGUUGUCAUCCGUGUUUACCGUAAAUAUCUCCACACAGCUGACUUGGCUCCUGCCCAGAAGAGAUACGAAGUGGUAUCGGUAGCAUAAUAUCGGAGCAUUUUUACAAGUACAGUGUAGACAGUACAGGAUCGUAAUAAAAAAAAAUUGAAGUUGUCCAAAUUCUAGGGACUUUACCUUUUAUUGUAUUAAAAUGUCUUAAUUUUUUACUCACACAAUUCGUUACAUAUUUUUUAUUGUCCGCUGACGUAACGCUAAUGUAGGUUCAUUCGUUAUUUAAAUAUCAUUCCUUUUUAAACAUAAUUUACCAAUGGAUAGGACUACAAAUUGUUUCCAAAAGCAUGUGAAAAUGUUCUGGGCUUACUCUUUUAUAACAAACAAACAAACAUAACAAUCUAAUGAUAGAUUAAUUUGGUUUCUUCUAGUUUCUAGUGCAUGGUUUCUUGUAUGUUAUAAAUAAUAAAUAAAUAAAUGUACUCUUUGCAUGUAUUUGUUUCCUUUUUAUUAUCAAAAAACACAAUAGGCAACUAUAUACAUACAUUUACAACUGUUAGGAAAAGUGUACGGUUGGGAUUGUAGCGCGAUGGUUAAAUGUGUGGCUACCGCGGUAUGUGAACUGGCUGCACUGUCUGAAACAGAGGAGAAAUUAGAAAAGUAGUCCAUUGGCGUCCCUUCAUUGACAAAGUUGCUUCAGAUGUGGCCCAUGAACAUUGCAGUUAUAGUAGUUGGAGGCGUAACCGACAUGAAGACCAGAGAGCUUAGUGCGGCUGGAAAAGGAGCUUGAGGGUUAUGACUGCACCCAGAAUCAGACACCAGAGACACUGUGGGCCUAACAAUGCAAUUUUUAACAAACGAUUCCUGAGAGUGCGCUCCAGAGUGGUCACGAGUUGGAGAGACAGUGUUCUUCAAACGUGGGGGUCGGGGGGGGUUCACAUGCUGAACACCGAAGAGCCCAUAAAGUCCAAAAAGUGACUGUCAUCCAGCCCCGAACGGAAGCCGCUGAAUGUCGGGAGAUGGAGGUCGUUCCAGUGGCUGUCCGCCGACAUGGUGAACUCCGAACUCAGCGUUGUGUACUGUGGCGACAGCCGCAGUUCGUCCACGUCGUCGGCUGUUCAAAGAAGAGGAGGCGCACAAUCAGGAUCUUGAAGGACACAUUAUUACCUCAAAGAUGGCGCCUGAAAUUUCCAAAUUAAAAACAAUCGAGGACUACGACGCCAGUUCCAUUAAAUACAGUGAACCCCAAAACUGUUAUCCCUUCCGAUACUUUUUAAACACUUUGUAAAUGUAUCUAAAAACAAAAAAAGGAAAAUUGCAACCAUAAAAUUUAUUUUAAAAAUACUGUAUCAAUGUUGUGUCUGUGUGUUAUUUGCCUUUAAGAGGCGGGGCCUGGUAGCGUGCCGGUGGACGUCUGCGUGUAAGUGUCCGGGAGUGAGCUGUGGCCGUCAGCAGCUCCUGCUUGAGUGUGCUCAUUGUGUUUAUGUGUUUUAUUGUUCUUUAAUAACGAGUGUUCAAACCACAAUAAAAAAAAUACACUUUUGGACUUUGGACCGAUUAUCACAUUGCGAAGUAGGACGAACGGGGCCAUAACUGGCGAGUUCUGUUUACCUGAACAUUCGCUCCACUGGCUCCCUGGACUGGUGCAUGUACUCAGCAUCCCCUUGACAUCAUAACUGGUCUUGAAGCUCUGCGAGUCUCUCUCCAGUUGCUUGCAAAUCUAACAAAGAAACACCAGAGUUUAGCGUGAUCACACUGUUUGUCUUCAGCCGGGCUGUCUUUGACCAACGCGGGCGAUGGAAAAACGUGCCUGGUAUGUUGCUCACCUCUACUAUGUCGUACUCAUACUCUGGAGGGAGACCGGUCAUGGGGGGGCGGGUGGAGAGAGAUAGAAGGUGGAAUGAGCAUACAUUUUUAUUUUAUUAAGAUUGUCCAAAAGUAGAACCAAAUGUAAUAUUUAGAAAAGUGGAGGCAUGCGUUGGAAAGGAGAGGAAUGAAGGUUAGCCAAAGAAAGAGGGGUGGAUGUGGAGAACAAAGUUGGAAAGAGCAGACUUCGAUGGUUUGGACACAUCCAGAGGAGAGAGAAAGUGAGUAUAUUGGUAGAAGGGUGAUGAGGAUGAAGCAGCCAGGCAAGAAAUCUUAAGGAAGACCUAAGAGAAGGUUGACGGAUGUUGUGAGGAAAGACGUGAGGGCAGUUUGUGUUAGAGAGGAGGAUGCAGAAGAUAGGCGAGAUGAAAAAGAAGGACAGUGGCGACCCUGAAAGGGACAAGCCGAAAGGCAAAGA